Molecule: long non-coding RNA, 220 nt
Organism: Helianthus annuus (common sunflower)
Lineage: Eukaryota; Viridiplantae; Streptophyta; Magnoliopsida; Asterales; Asteraceae
Exons: 3
Source: RefSeq, a predicted model, not a curated record
ACCAAGUCAAGGGGAUCGUAAGUUUGACGAUUAACAAGCUAGGUGAAAGCUUGGGAACGAAGCGGGUCAAACGAAGCAAGAAUGACGGAAAAGCAUAAUUUGGAAGUAAGGUGAUCGCCAAGAGUGCCCGGAUGAAGAUCAAGCUCGAAGAAGAACCGAACACACGAGAUUAAAGCUUCCGCACAGCGUAACGUCGUAACUUUUAAACGACGAACUUAUU